Molecule: long non-coding RNA, 476 nt
Filed under: Arabidopsis lyrata
Lineage: Eukaryota; Viridiplantae; Streptophyta; Magnoliopsida; Brassicales; Brassicaceae
Description: long non-coding RNA (ALYR_LNC000727)
Source: RNAcentral
ACAUGGCUUCUUCGGUGGCUUGUGUACCGGAACUGGAGGUGGGUGCUCUAUCUUUGGCGGUGGCUUGUAAACCGGAACCGAAGGUGGGUGCUCUAUCUUUGGCGGUGGCUUGUAAACCGGAACCGAAGGUGGGUGCUCUAUCUUUGGCGGUGGCUUGUAAACCGGAACUGGAGGUGGGUGCUCUAUCUUUGGCGGUGGCUUGUAAACCGGAACCGGAGGUGGGUGCUCUAUCUUCGGCGGUUUAGGUGGACAAGGCUUCUUAGGAAUAGGCGGUGGAAGCUCCACCUUUGGUGAUGGCUCGUAAAUCGGGACAGGUGGGGGAACCUCUUUCUUUGGCGGUGGAUCGUAAACCGGAACCGGAGGCGGAACCUCUUUCUUUGGCGGUGGCUCGUAAACCGGAACCGGAGGUGGAACCUCCACAGGAGGGCUGAAUUUAGGUGGACAUGGCUUCUUGAGAAACGGUGGAAGUUCCAAAG